CAGUGCCCAUUAAGCUGAAGGUUCCUGAGAGGAUUCAAUAAACCUUGGACUUUGCCCUUCAUGAGGGCCUCACUCCUGCUUCCUCCAUUGUUGCUGCCGUCUCUUCCAAUAAGCCACUCCCCUGAUUCCCAGGAUUCAGAGGGGUGUCCCCUGCAAGGUCGGCAGUGUCGAGUCAGCCCAGUAGAAAGCAAGAAGUUGCAAGAUCGAAUUCCAGUGUCAGAUUUCCUCCUUUGCCUUCUACAUUCUGGAACAUAUUUUAGCUAAUGAAAAUGGACAUCCUCAUGACAGCAAAAGCUGAUAGGUUCAGAGACAACUGUAGAUUUUGCAAGACUCACAUGUUGUGACACCAGAUUUUCAGAAGCCUUAAGAAAGUAGAAGACAAGGAAGUCCUGAAAUAAAUAAGUACUCAAUAUUGAAGUAUGUUGAUUGUUAAAAUAAUCAUCUCCUCCAGUAGUUACGUCAUUGAUACGCAAGAUUGUUCUUGCUCUUCAUUAAUUUUUGCCCUAACUGUGACAACA
Long non-coding RNA from Parus major (Great Tit), 518 nucleotides. RefSeq lists it as uncharacterized. The transcript is spliced from 3 exons. The record is from RefSeq and is a predicted model, not a curated record. NCBI's taxonomy places the organism in Eukaryota, Metazoa, Chordata, Aves, Passeriformes, Paridae.